AAAAGUCGUAACAAGGUUUCCGUAGGUGAACCUGCGGAAGGAUCAUUAUAGAAAUCGUGAUGGCUCGUGAAAGGUUGUUGCUGGUCCUACAGGGCAUGUGCACGCUUGGAUCGGGUUCGUUCAUCCUUUUCUUCCACACACCUGUGCACGAUCUGUAGCUUAGGGAUGAUCACGAAGUUGCGCUGUCGAUUUCGAAUGCCCUUCGCUAUGUAUUAUAACACACGCUCUAUGUAUUUUGGAAUGUUAUGGAUAUAUAUGCGUGUUAACAAACGCAGAUGCAAUACAACUUUCAGCAACGGAUCUCUUGGCUCUCGCAUCGAUGAAGAACGCAGCGAAAUGCGAUAAGUAAUGUGAAUUGCAGAAUUCAGUGAAUCAUCGAAUCUUUGAACGCACCUUGCGCUCCUUGGUAUUCCGAGGAGCAUGCCUGUUUGAGUGUCAUGAAAUUAUCAACUGCUUUGAUUUUUUUUGAAGUGAAGUUGGAUUUGGAGUGUUUGCUGGCGAUUUCGUUCAGCUCCUCUUAAAUGCAUUAAAGCCGUCGUUAUUAUUCCUGGCAUUGAAGUAUCUUUGACGUGAUAACUAUCUACGUCGCAGAGAAAGCUUUGAAUGUGUUACGGCUUCAUUACAAAGUCGCCGAUAAGACUUUGCAUUGAUCAAUUUGACCUCAAAUCAGGCAGGACUACCCGCUGAACUUAAGCAUAUCAAUAAGCGGAGGAA
This 714-nucleotide ribosomal RNA is filed under the name Hydnellum concrescens. RNAcentral describes it as "eukaryotic LSU rRNA". The stretch from base 285 to 438 matches the Rfam family "5.8S ribosomal RNA". Lineage: Eukaryota; Fungi; Basidiomycota; Agaricomycetes; Thelephorales; Thelephoraceae. The record is from RNAcentral.